This 28-nucleotide non-coding RNA is filed under the name Bombyx mori (domestic silkworm). Lineage: Eukaryota; Metazoa; Arthropoda; Insecta; Lepidoptera; Bombycidae. The record is from RNAcentral.
UGAUGAAUUUGGUUAAAAAGGAUAAGGU